Long non-coding RNA from Rana temporaria (common frog), 1447 nucleotides. RefSeq lists it as uncharacterized. The transcript is spliced from 3 exons. The record is from RefSeq and is a predicted model, not a curated record. Lineage: Eukaryota; Metazoa; Chordata; Amphibia; Anura; Ranidae.
ACUGACUGUGUUCUCUGUCCUCUCCAGGGUGUCCACAUUGUAAGAGCUCCGUCCCCGACUUCACAUCCGCAGCUGAAGAGUUCAAAGAUGACCGCAAGAUUGCCUACGGCGCGGUGGACUGUACCAAAGAGAAGAACCAGGAGCUGUGUAAGCAGGAGGGAGUGGAGGGCUUCCCCACCUUCAACUACUACAACUACGGCAAAUUCAGCGAGAAAUACAACGGAGAGCGUGCGGAAUCCGGCUUUGUCGGCUUCAUGCGAUCUCUGCGUGAGAAGGAUCACGGCAAGCUGGGCAAGAAGAAGGAAGAGCUUUAAUGGUGGAGCCGGCGGCGUGUGCGCUACAGAAACAUUGCCCCAAAUCCAGGACCAAGGACCCCCCCCCAUCCCCCAACAGAUCUAUGGCGGGGCACUACAGACUACCCCCAACUUUCCUGCCCCCCCCCGCCGUAAACUUUCAGCGCUCCAAGACUCUCAGCGGGCCCAAUCCAUGCACCGUAUAUCCAUUGUAUCGCUCCCCCAUUACGGGGGCGGUCCUGUCCAUGUAGUAGGGCAGGGGUGGCCCCCCCGUGGGUCCCGAAUGGGGGGGUCUCGCUGAGGCUUCCAUUCACAGAUGCAAGUUUGAUUAUUUGAAGGAGAUAGAAACCACUUUUUUUUUGUUUGUUUUGUAUUUUUUCCUUUUUAUAUUUAAUCGUUUAUUUGUAUGCAGUUCAUCGUACGCAGUUACUGAAUUCACGGGACAAAGUCACGGGACGACGAUCGGCUCACCAGGAAGCCGGCACUUUUUUUUCCUGGUGAAAUGCGUCGAGUAGAAGAACGGGACGAGAGGGCGGGUGUAUUUAAAGGGAUAGUUCACCUUUUACAGAAAAAAAGGCAAAGGAUGAACGAACACCCCUCCCCCUCCACCCACCCUGUCUUUUUCUUGUGCGCGAUGAAGGGCCGCCAUCGGCCCCCGCUCCGGCUUCUGAGGUUCACAGGCUGCUCUUGCGGUGAAGUCGUUCAUCACCAGCGCCGGAGGCUUCUUGUCCGUUUUUAAGGUUCUGCUUUGUCCUAUAGAGAUUAGCGGGUCGGGAUACUGUGGUUUGAUUUGUGUUUUUAUUUUUUUUGCCAAAAAAAGAUUUUUGCUACAAAAAAACAAACCGUAACGUGCAACCCGUUUUUGUCCUCGUAGCCGCCAUUUUGGAUCCAAUCCAUAAAAUAAAAAAAAUGGUUGCCUGCAGUAUGUAUUUUAAAGAGGACCUGUCACAAACCUUCACUCUCGUCUCAGGCCCCCCCCCCCCCCCUCCCAGGGGACGGGGCGCGGAGUCCAGCAUAGUAGCCAUGUUUGUAUCAAAGUUUGUAGCCUGAGAAUCAGAGACCCUUUAUGGCCGCUUCUGCUGUACAGUGGAACCUCGGAUUGCGAGUAACGCGGUUUAACGAGUGUUUCGCAAUACGAGCGCUGUUUGUUUUUU